GAACUAGAAGAACUAGAGGGAUCCUCUCUACUUGGAUGAAGAAUUGAAACCCUAGCUUUGAUUCUGUAGAAGAGGUAUGAUCUCCAGGGGCCAGGGGGGUCUGGUUUUAUAGUCCCUUCAAGUGAAUCUGGGCCGUCGGAUCAAACCGACAUUGAUCGCACGGUUUUCCUUGAUCCUUUAGGUCGGUGGAGCUUGGUCCGCAAAGUUGGACGUGUUUGACCACAACUCCUGGGCGGGCGCCCAAGGGGGGUGGGCGGGCGCCCUGCCCCCGGGCCCGUUCGCCUUCCCGUUCGUUCCCGUGGCUUCUGGAGUCUUCUAGAUGACGUAAAAUUGCGCGGCACGUUAAUAUCUCUAUGUAAACCCGACAUGUGGGCCUUUCUUCCGUAUUUCCUGAUAACCCCCUGCAGAAAUAGACAAACACCAAAACUCGUGGAAUUCUGUCAGAUAAAACCCUAAGUCUAGGUGUUGGUUGCAUUUGGAUCCUUUUCUAUGAUUAGUUGAUGGUUAAUUGUGAGCAUUAAGGACCGUCAACAAGCUCCCCCAAGCUUAACCUUUGCUCGUCCCUGAGCAAAGAUAGACUUAAGAGUUUUCUGCAGUGGUUUCAUAACUUAAAGAUACACAUGCGUUUAAACAAGAUCUCAUCUCUGGUUAGAGUAAACUGUUAAGACUUAAAACUUACUCAUUUACCUUUCACCAUGGGACUUGUAACCGUCACUUCUGUCUUGAGUAGUUAAAAGAUAUAACAGUCUAGUCAAGCGCCAUGUCUCUUGUUCUUCGAUUAACUAUAGCUUUGGAGUUUUUGCAGAUUUUCAAAUAAAACUCAGAGAUUCCUUGUAUGACUCUCUCUAGUCUCUCUUUUGUGGUAUUUCUGGAUCCUUACCAAGGCAGUAAAGGUGUAUGCCUUCUCUCAAAGUAUGUGGUAUUUUUGGUAUGAGGCAUAGUGACAUUGCCUUCCUCUCACCCUACUCUAAUAAGGCUUUUGAUAUCUGGAGCUCAUAGGUGGGAGACAGCUAAUACAUACUUACAAGACAUUUAUUGCAUAGUCAAACCAUGGAUCCAGAAGAACAAGUCAAUAAGUCAAAUCAAGAUGUGCAUGUGUGGCGAAUGAAUGGUGUAUGGUGAUGAUGGUGAUAACAAUGGUGAAAGUCGAAUUCUACUUAUGCUCUUUUGAGGGGAUACAUACCUUUCUUGCUCUUUUGAAAGUUUUUGAGGAGAAUGAGAUGCUCUAUAUUUUCUUUUUUUUUCUCUCAGGUGGGUAUCUUGUACCCCUAAUUCUACUGUCGGACACUUGUCCAUUUUUACCUCUCGUCUCACUUUUUCUUUUCUUUUCUUUCGAGGUUCCGGGCACUUGCCCCUUUUUAUUUCCUCGUAUUUAUUUUUUUCUCUCUUUUUUUUCUUUUUUUAGAGCACUCAUCUCCUGAAAUAAUAUAGCAAGUGGUAGUAACCAAGAUAACUUGAGCAUUUAUUUCAAAGGGGAAAAAUAGAAAUAUUUUUGGCUAUUCUCUCCCGGAUUAGGAGUAGAAUAUUUUUGGGUGGCUCUAGAGAUGGAAAUAGAUGGAUAUAUGUAGAUGCGUACUUCCAGAGUAGAAGCAGCAUGUAUGAGUGAACGUGCAAGUGAAUCUUGAUUUUAACCACAUGACAAGCUCCUAAGGGUCUACACAGCUUGACCACACUCAAUGCUCAUAAGCAGUAAAAAGUAAAUAUGUGGCUCAAAGUCUAGCAAGCAUGUAUAUAUGGCUGUGGUAGGAAUUUAAACUCUCAUCAUACAGGAACUCAUCAUGCAACAUUUUAAAGAUUUUCAAAGAGAAAAUUCUCCAGAAUUCUAGCAUCUCUAGGAACAGAUAAACAGCAGCACAACCUUCCCAUAUCGUAUCCGUUAACGACUUAGACUUUAGAUCAAGCACUCUCCCCACAAGUUCAGGUUUAGAGCAAAUCUUAAUUAAUAUCAGUCAUGCCUAAACUUGAGAGAGAUUUCAAUUUUAAGAACUAGUCAUGGCAGAGCAACCAUUCAUCAUUUCCAUGUGAGAUCUUAUCAUGAGGGUUCAUAGCAAAUUUUAUUUAUUUAUUUAUUUAGGAAACUAAGCAAAGAUAUAUAUAAGUACAAAAUCUUUAUUUGGGUUUCUAUGAUUAUGUAUCUUUUUAUUAUUAGAGUAAAGUAUAAACGUGAGUAGAAUACUUAGCUGGAUAAAUGGGGGUGCUAUCCCCCAAGCUGGAUUUUGACGUAGUUUCUUCUAAUGUAGCUAGCAAGUGGUGGAGGUGUAUUUGAAUGUCAGCAGCACCCUGACAGCGAUUAGGAUGUCCUCCGUCUGCUAGUCUUCUUUGAUCCUUGAAUUCUGUGGAGCUCAAAUAGAUAACAAAGCUUUGUGGAACUAGUUAAGUGUUAGCAUAAAUAUCUAGCCUUUAUCAUGUUGAGUCUCCUCAAUAAAUGUUACUCUCUUUAGUAGGAUCAUAAUUUUAUUUUUAUAAUUUUAUUUUUAUAGGACAGAAAUAUAUUUAUUUUAUUUUUAUGCCACCACAGUGAAUGUACUUAUGGGUUUUAUGCCAUGAGCACACUCACAUGGGGCUUACUAUUUUUACAUUUUUAUUUUCUUUUCAAGAUGAUAUGAACCUGAUUAACUAAGCAAACUAUUUUAAAAUAAUUGAAAGGAAAAGAUAACUACCAAGUUUACCUCUUGGCAAGGCGUUCGAUGUUUUUAAGUCCUCCGAACGGGACUCUCCAUAUUCUCAGUCGUCCUGGGAUUCGCUGGAUGGCAUAGUCGGUGGUUCCGGCGGCGCUUCCUCUUUGUGUAUAACUAUCUUCUUUCUGCACACCUGACUCGGUGCUACGGUCUCCUCAGGACAGUUCUGUUCAAGCUGUAUGUCUUCAGACCUUACGACUUCUCCUUCAUAGUCUGCCCAUCCGUCCUUGAUGAUUUGCCUCCUCUGGUUGCAGUUGCGUUGUACUCUUCUUGCCCUGACCUGCUUAGAGUCUUCAACUAUAUAGUUAGGGUCAGUAAAACAACGGCGUACCUUCUCAGAGGGGAAGUGCAUGUGGACUUCUCUAGUUCCAAUGUAGAUGAUUGCUUUAACAGUGCUGAGGAACGGUCUUCCAAGGAUGAUGGGUGGAUCGUACUUGUCUUCUCCUAUGUCAAUAACCUUAAAAUCAUCUGGAGCUGAAUGUAUGUUGGUUGUAGGGGCAUGGUUCCAUACAAGAGCUGAUAAGUAACUGCGGCCAUUAUGUUGACGUCAGAUCCGGUGUCAUAGAGUGUCUUCUGAAAAGAAUAUCCGUUGAUUGUGCACUCGAUGCUUGGGACACCAGGGUCGUCCUUCUUGAUCAAGAAAGGUGACUUGAGUUGACGAUCUUGACCUCCUUGAGCUGCAGUGACCAUCUUAGCUGACUCGGUACACAUUUGCUUGUUCUUGUUCCUGCUGUUGGUCCUCUUCCUUGGUUCAUGUCGGGAUUGCUCUGAGAUUUGUGUAGUCUUAUUCUUGAAGGUAAACGUCUCCUUCCUUCCCUUGAUGUAGACACUGAUCUUGGCAGCACUAGCGUGGAUGACAGCUCCCGAGGUGUUCAGGAAUAGCCUCCCUAGGAUGAUGGAUGCCCUCUCAUCACUAUCAGUCUCUAUCACCACGAAGUCUGCUGGAGCAUAUAAGGUACCAACUCGGACGUAGAGGUUCUUCAAUAUUCCCUUUGGGAAACUUAUUGUCUGAUCUGCAAGCAUGCCGAUGGAGAUUGGGAUGACGGGGCGUCCUAGAUUGUCUCUCUUGACCGGCAGAAGGUCAGUAAUUACUUCCACAACGGGGUUACUCUAGUAGUUACAUCCUCAAGCAUCUCAGGGCAGUGAUUGCCUGAGUGUCCAGUAUCUCCAGUGUGUUUGUGCUCGUAGAUCUAGGUUUUUCACUUGGUGGAGUCUGGGAGUUGUAAAACACCUUCAUAUUUUGCUCAAAGUGUACCUGCUCAUAGAGACAAGGCAGAGAUCAAGUGCAUGGGCCCUGUUGGUGGUAAACACCAACAGAACCAAAAGUGUAUUUGUUCUUCUCUAUCCUUAAUCAUAGUGAGCAAGACAAAGUUGAUGGAUAAUAAGAUCAUGAGUGUAGCAUUUAAAACAUUUGUCAGAUCAGAUCACUCAACCUAAUGGAAAGAUAAUUUAUCUAUAUUUAUGUUGUUUUUUUAUAUAUCUUCCAAAGAUUGAGUGUGCAACAUUUUAGCUUAAAGGAUUAGGAGUAUGGGAUCACAAAGGUGGAAGGACUAAACAUGUUGAAUCGAUUAGGUUGGUUAAUCUAGAGUUGUAAAUCAUACAUGUUUGUCUCUUUUAUUCAUGUGAACGCCAGAAAUAAGGAGAAGCUUAUAACAGUGAUAGUUACAUACCUUAAGAUGUUACCUUAAUUGAAGAGUGAUGGUACAAUAUCACCUUGUGGAAGCUUUCCUUUCUUAGCGGUUGUGCAUCGUGUUUAUGGCACCCUCCAUGGAUCAUCUCUUGUGAGCUCUGCCUUCCUUGUGUAAAUUGUUAGACUUCAUGUGUCUCUCUCUUUGUCUCCAAUGUGAGUUUAUCUCAGGACUUCCCAGGUUGAUAUUGAAAGUUUUCCUGCAGGGGUUAGUCCAACAAAAUAUCCAAUAUCUACUAUAGCAUACUAUCGGCUCAAAGAUCAACCUAGACACCAUGUCUAAUUUGAUUUAGGAGGGCACUUUAACCUAAGCAUCAUGCUUAAUUUAAACUCCCUUGGAAGUAAGAUCAUCACUCCUAAACUAAGCACCAUGCUUAAUUAAGAGAUAAAUGAAACUACUCCAAACCUAAACAUAUACUAAAGCAAAUAAAGGUAGCAUGAGAGCAUUUAUAGAGAUCUACUUAAGUGGAGAUGAAGUAGUGUGAUUAGUAUUUAAGAAAUUGAGCAUGUCUCAAAGGUAGGGAUAACCAACAUAGCAACAUGGCAAAUGAUGUUUUUUAUGUAAAAUACUCCCCCAAGCUUGAAUUUUGUAAAAUUCAAGUUUGGAUGAAUUUAAUUCAAUGUUGUAUGAUGAUUGGUUGGACAUACCUUGUGCUUGUCAUUCAUCCGAUCUUCUUGCUCCAAUCCUGAAAAGGUUAGUGACAAGAAUACCCGAAGGAAUAUUUUUACAAUUAUCCUUAUAUGCUCAAUACACAAGGUAAUGUUGCAAAUAAUUAAAAGCUCAUGUUAUGAUCUAAUCAGUGCUUGUUUUAGGACACUAAGCUUGUCCUUGGGAAACCAUCAAUUUAUGUCGGCGAAGUGGUUUCCCCUCCAACGCUGACCUAUAUCAAGAUCAACUCAACGAGAUCUGCAAUAUUUGAUAUAGACAUAUGCAUCGACAACCGCCCUUUUAAUGUUUUUAUAAAUAGAAAGGAAGUGGGGGUUGGAGAUCUCGAAUGUGGUGAUGUUGGAGAGACCAAUGGAUUGUGAAGAUGUUGCAUAUGAGCAUGGAGUAAAUGAAGUGGCUAUGAAAUAAAUUCCAUGCUCAUUAAUGCUUAGAGUGAAAUCCAUGUGGUAUGGUGAAAAUGGUGAGUGUGGUAAAAAAAGGGAAAAGAAAAAGGAUACACGGGUGACUUGGUUCGAAACUAGCACAGCUACCGUUCCCCGGCAACGGCGCCAGAAAGCUUGUUGGGUAUUUUAAACGCAAACAGAAAAAUCCGCAAGCGCACGGAUACCGAUGUAGCUUUCACCCGGGAGUAUUCCAGAGUAUCGAUUUUCCACAGAGAACGUGAGUGUACUAAUUAAGAUCCAAGAUCGCCCAAGGAUAACUAUAUAAUUAUUUUUGGUGGGAAGAGAGGAAGUUUCCUGAGAGCUCUCUAGUUGAUCUAAGAAUCAAGAAUUACUUCAAGAUUAUCUAUAUCGGGACAUCAGAACACUAACCACAGAAAGAGAUGAGAAGGGGGCUAGGAAGCUCCGACUACGGUCCUACAAACACCGAUCCGAACGUGGUGGAAUACGUCGACUGUUAGGGCUGUCACUACCCUAAGGCUACCACAACAAUCCGCAGGAUUGGGUGCAAUUCCAGGUAAUUGCAAGACUAAACACCACGUCUAAUCUAUUAAUUACUACUCUAAUGUUUCAAAGAUUAGAGCACUUGAUGCAAGCGGGAAUCCAAUAAAUAACUUGAAUGUAAAUAAAAGUAAUUAGAGAACUCAGGAGUUAUGAGUUGAAGAACCUGGAGAACGAUUAAGAACGAACCAGAUGCUGCAAAAGUACAAUGUUGAGGAAGAUCCGACAGAUCCGGCUCCUCCUCCGCUCUCCUCUUCUCUCUCCCUAUUUUCUAGAUUACAACUAGAACUAACUAGAACUAGAACUAGAGGAACUAGAACAAGAACUAGAUGAACUAGAACUAGAUCUAGAUGAACUAGAGGUAGAACUAGAAGAACUAGAGGGAUCCUCUCUACUUGGAUGAAGAAUUGAAACCCUAGCUUUGAUUCUGUAGAAGAGGUAUGAUCUCCAGGGGCCAGGGGGGUCUGGUUUUAUAGUCCCUUCAAGUGAAUCAGGGUCGUCGGAUCAAACCGACAUUGAUCGCACGGUUUUCCUUGAUCCUUUAGGUCGGUGGAGCUUGGUCCGCAAAGUUGGACGUGUUUGACCACAACUCCUGGGCGGGCGCGCAAGGGGGGUGGGCGGGCGCCCUGCCCCCGGGCCCGUUCGCCUUCCCGUUCGUUCUCGUGGCUUCUGGAGUCUUCUAGAUGACGUAAAAUUGCGCGGCACGUUAAUAUCUCUAUGUAAACCCGACAUGUGGGCCUUUCUUCCGUAUUUCCUGAUAACCCCCUGCAGAAAUAGACAAACACCAAAACUCGUGGAAUUCUGUCAGAUAAAACCCUAAGUUUAGGUGUUGGUUGCAUUUGGAUCCUUUUCUAUGAUUAGUUGAUGGUUAAUUGUGAGCAUUAAGGACCGUCAACAGAUGCUCAUGAGUGAUCAUGAUGAUGCUUAUGUUGAUGGAAUGCUCAUGGUUAACAUGCAAGCUAACACUAGGAGUGUCACACAGGACGGUUCUUAAGUAUCAAUUUUAAUCAUAAAAUAAAUAAAGAAAAGGACCAUACAAACAACACCUAGAAUUAGGGUUUGAUCUGACAGAAUUCCAUGAGUUUUGUUGUUUAUCUAUUUCUAUAGGGGGGUAUCAAGAAAUAUGGAAGAAAGGCCCACACGUUGGGUUUACAUAGAGAUAUUAACUUGUGCGCCAAUUUUCCUUGGUCUAGAAGGUUCCAGAAGCCACACGAACGAGCGGGAGGCCGAGCGGGCCCACAGGCAGGGCGCCCACCUAUGGUGGCCAAUCAGGGUGCAUCACGCAGAUUAUGCUCCACCGCCUUUGAGGAUCAAGGAGAACCGUUCAAUCAAGGUCGGUUUGAUCCGACGGCCUAGAUUCAUUUGAGAGGGCUAUAUAAUCAAGGCCCCUGGCCCCUAGAGAAAUAGAAUCCCAUUUCUGGAUAACAUCUCAGGUGAAGUGCUCACUGAUAUCCGUGCGCUUGCGGAUUAAUUCCUGAUUGCGUUACCAAAUAUCAACAAGCAUUUCUGGCGCCGUUGCCGGAGAGAAAGACGGUUUGCUGAGAUAAACCUUGAGUCUUACUACUAGCUUGUAUUCAUACUUUUAUCUUUUCUUAUUUUUUUAUAUGUAUAUAUUCUUUAUUUUCCAUACUCUUACCUUAUGGAAAACCAAGAUUCUAAAUUGAUCUAUCAAUUUGCGACACCUUCAGAAACUGACCUUUUACCAUGGGAGUCAUCACAGCCUAUCCAAACAUCCCAGUAUAGGUUAAGUUCUAGGUUGAUUGCCAUGAUUCAAAACCUAGAGAUUUUGAGCAAACAUGUGAUUGUCUUCGCACUGAAGGCAUUUCUGAUAAAACUUUACGUUGGAAGCUUUUUCCUUUUUCUUUAAGGGGAGAAGCUAGACAAUGGUAUAGUCAAAAGGUAAGUCAACAACGAGGUGAAUGGGGAGUUUUACGAGCCAACUUUUGUCUAGAUUUUUAUUCCCUCGACCGUAUCGGCGACCUUAGACUCGAAGUCCUAUCUUUUAAACAAAAAGAUACUGAAACUUUGGGAAAAUCAUAGAAACGUUUUUCUGAUCAUUUAGAAUCUGGUCCAAAACUUAAUCUUGAAGACCCUGUUCUUUUAUUUCACUUUUUUCGAGGUCUUCAGAAAGAUCAUAAAUAAAUGCUACAUACAAUGUCUAGAGGUUCUUUCUUUCACAUCCCUACUGAUGAUGCUAGAGCGAUCCUAGAUAGAAUCCUAGAAGCUGAGAUGGAUAAUACCCUCCAUGAUGAAACCCACGAAGCCGAAGUAGACACUCUGCCCAAUUCUCCAUCUACUUUAGCUAACCCAGGUUCUGAGCCACAAAACGAAGGAACUCCACUACCUGAUUUCAUGUUGGAUAUAGAAUUUGAUCUUUUUGUCGAUUUUGGAAACAUUUCAAAUUACCAUUUUAUUGACAGACCCCAAAACGGCUAUUUUAGCAUUUGUUUGCCGAGCGAACAUCAAUUAAGAGAGCUUAUCUUAGUCAUGAGUAGCGAAUGGUUGGAGGAGUCAGAGCGUUCCUCUGAUAUGAUCCGUUUGGACACAUCUCCUAUAACUAUACGUUGUGCCUAUGAUUUUGAUCAAUUUGAUGCUCUCUAUAAUCAUGUUGUGGGGAUCAACAUUAUGUCUAAAGCUUUUGCGCUUAAAAUAUUUUAAAAUUUGGUCUUAACCCCCACAACAAAGGUCAUAAAGGAAUCUUUGGGACUAUUAGUCCCCAGUCUUGGAAUUAUUAAUAUCCUACCCCUUAUGGUAGAAGGCUCCAUGGUUCAUUUGAACUUCUAUAUCUUUGAUACAUGGGACUUCGACCUGUUGAUAGGACAACCUUUUAGAAGACUCCUUUAUGAAGGUCAAACUGGAAAGCUACACAUUUCUUUUGGAAAAGAUUUCAAAUUUCCAAUAACGAUUUCUCACUCCUUAAAUAGUAAGACCGAGUCAUAUCUUUUGCCCGAUCCUAUGGAGGAGGUAAAGGCUGCAUCUCUAGAGCUUUUAGAUGAACCAGACUUAGAAGAAGAAGCUCCUUUCUUCACAGAAGAAGAGGCCGAACCUUCUGAAUCUGAACCCUUAGACGAGUUUGCAAAAACACCUAGACCUCCCAUAGAGCUUAAAACUUUACCACCCGGUCUGAGCUAUGCUUUCCUAAGCAAUAAUCCAGAGUUUCCUAUGAUCAUUAGUGAUCAACUCACUCAGGAGCAAACUCUAGGAUUGAUGACCAUUCUUGAGAAACAUCACUCAGUUUGCGGCUACUCACUCCAAGAUCUUAUAGGAAUCCGUCCUAUGAUUUGUACCCAUCGUAUUCCGACAGAUCCUUCUGUUUCACCCUCUCGAGAGCCCCAACGUAGACUUAACAACGCGAUGAGAAAGGUAGUUAAAAUGGAUGUUAUAAAGUUGCUGCAUGCAGAGAUUAUAUAUCCUAUUCCACAUAGUGAGUGGGUGAGCCCUGUUCAAGUUGUGCCUAAAAAGGGAGGCAUGACUGUCGUUACGAAUGAAAAGAAUGAGCUAAUUCCGCAAUGCACCGUCACAGGGUGACGGAUGUGCAUAUACUAUAGAAAACUGAACAAAGCCACGAAAAAGGAUCAUUUUCCUUUACCGUUCAUAGAUGAGAUGCUAGAGCGACUAGCGAACCAUUCAUUCUUCUGUUUCUUAGAUGGAUAUUCAGGGUAUCACCAGAUCCCGAUCCAUCCCGAUGAUCAAAGCAAAACCACUUUUACAUGCCCAUACGGAACUUAUACUUACCGUAGAAUGUCUUUUGGGUUAUGUAAUGCACCAGCUUCUUUUCAAAGAUGUAUGAUUUCUAUAUUUUCUGAUAUGAUUGAAGAGAUUAUGGAAGUUUUUGUUGACACUUACUAACACCACUUGGAUACUAGGUUGUCAUCCCCAGCAUGGUGCCAGAGUGUACAAAGGUAUUUAUGAAUGUAAAGGCUCUCUAGAGAAUAAUCUAUUCUAUCCGCAAGCGCACAGAUAAAAUACCUCAUUGUAGCAUUUCACCAGGAAAAGUAUUCUAGGUAUCGUUAUUUAUAAUUUUGCUUAAGAGAACGGUGGAGAUAAAUAAAAUCUAUCAAGGCAUAGACUAGAGAUAAACUUUCAAGAAUAUGAUUACUAAUGAGGAACUCAUCACACAGUCACUUAUUUUGGCAGGGGGGUAAGCCAUAAUAAUAAUGAUCAUGAAAUAUAAGCUCAUGGGUAAAUAACACAGCCAUUAGAAAAUAGUCUACUCCUCAUAUAUGUAAGGUGACGUCGGAUUAGCUAGAGAAUGGAUUCUAAGUUAUCUACUAUCUACUAAGUCACAAUCUACUCUAAUUAUCUACAAUAUCAUAUAUAGCAUAAAAGACUCUUCAUUCAUGUAUAAGUAACAUUGCUAAAGUAAAUCAGAGCAUCGCAAGACUUACACUGUAAUACAAAUUCUACCUGUCCUAUCAACGGAGGGUGGACUAUAUAAGAAUCAACGAAGCUGUCACUAUCGUGAACUACCACACGGCUUGGCCAAUAGGAUACAUUUGCAGGUAAAUAACAUCUAAGCACCACGCCUACAUGUGAUCUACCACUUAACUCCCACGUGUUAAGAGCUAAGCGCUUUGCAAACUUAUACAUAAACUCAUUAUCAAUCAUAACUAUAUCAAAUAUAGAACUAGAGCAAACAAAGGGCAUAAUAAAUAGAGACAUAAUGCAAUUAGAAUAAAGUAGUAGAGAAAGUUAUGAAAUAAUACCAAUCUUUAUUAACGAAGAUCCGAAUCCAGAGCGCUAGGCUCUACUUCUCUAAUUCUAUCUAAUCAAUCCUCUAAACUUGAAGGAUUAGGGAGUACCUAAUUCUAAUUCUCUGUGGGAGAGAAGAUCUAAAACCCUAACUUUGAUGGCUUCCUCUGAUAAUGAUUUCUCCUCUCUCCCCCUGGGGUGGAGAGGCCUUGCUUAUAUAGUCCCAUCAAGUGAAUUUGGGCCGUCGGAUCAAACCAACAUUGAUCGCACGGUUUUCCUUGAUCCUUUAGGUCGGUGGAGCAUAAUCCGCGAGAUUGGUUGUGAUGGGCCCCGAGGCUAGGGCGGGCGCCCAAGGGGGGAGGGCGGGCGCCCUGCCCCCGAGCCCGUCCGAUCUCCCGUUCGUUCCCGUGGCUUCUGGACUCUUCUAGAUCAAGGAAAAUUGCGCGGCACGUAAUUAUCUCGUUGUAAACAUGACAUGUGGGCCUUCUCUCCAUAUUUUCUGAUAACCCCCUGCAGAAAUAGACAAACACCAAAGCUCGUGGAAUUCUGUCAGGUAAAACCCUAAUUCUAGAUGUUUGGUGCAUAUUGAUCCUUUUCCGUGUUUAGUUGAUGAUUAAAUUUAGUACUUAAGGACCGUCAACAAACUCCCCCAAGCUUACCCUUUGCUCGUCUCUGAGCAAACAGCUAAACUCAGAUGGAUCAGGAGUUGCUUCGAUGUUUUCUUUCCUGACAGGCACACAUGCUUUCACAUAAAAAUUCUUCGAGAUUAGAGUGAAGUGUCAUGGAGCUUAGUACCUGCACUUAAGUCUUAAGAAAUCGGAAGACAAAAAUAGUUAAGUCAAGCACUAUUCCUCCUGUCUAUACUUCACCUUUGUUCUGGAGUUUUGCAUAGGUUUUCAAAAAUAAGGCUCAGAGUUCCCAGCUAUGAUUCUCUCAAGUCUCUCUAUAUGUGGUAUUUGUGGAUCCUUACAAAGAUGUCACCUUCCUACAGCUAAUGGAAUAUUUAAGUGGAGCUCAUAGGUGUGAAAAACAUCUCAUACAUAUGUUGUCUAAUUGAGCCAUGGAUCCAAAGGAACUCAGCAUAUAAUUAAAUUAAGAUGUGCAUGUGUGGUGGAGUAAAUGAUAGUAAUGGUGGAAAUGUAUAAGUGAUGAUAAAACUUACUUCUCAUUGCUCCUCAUAUUGCUAUCUCUCCUCCUCUCUUGAUCUUUGCCUUGGGAGAACAUGGGCUAUCUCUCUUUCUUUUUUUUCAGGUGGGUAGUAAAUACCCCUAAUUUUACUGUCGAACACUUGUCCAUUUUUUCCGCUCAGGUGGGCAUCUUUGUACCCCUAAUUCUACUCCGGACACUUGUCCAUUUUUACCUCUCAUCUCACUCUUUUUUUCGAGGUUUCGGGCACUUGCCCCUUUUUAUUUCCUCGCAUAUUUUUGCAUAACCCAUGUCUCUUCUGCAUUGAAUCUUUUUGGAGAGAGAGAAUAACAACACUUGGGACAGUGAGUGAUAAUAUUUUUAGCAGAUUUUAAUGAAUGGUGGUGGAUGGUGUAGUAGAUGUGUGCCAGUGAAUAUCUUAAUUUAACCACAUGAAAAGUCCUAAGGGUCGACACAGCUCGAUCAAACUUAAUGUGAAUAUAAGUAAAGAUGUUAUAGCAAGUAUGGCUGUGGUAGGAAUUUUUUCAUGCUAGGAACUCAUCAUGUGAUUUGCAAGUUUUCAAAAUAAAUCUCGAGAACACAGUGUAGUAGGAACAAGAUAAACAACAGCUCAAACUUUAUAUCAUGUCCUUCUCUUACCUAGACUUUAGCUUUAGGUUCAUGCUUCCCAUAGAUAUUAAAUUUUAGUUUUUUAGUAAUUCCUAGAAGAACUCUAAUAUAAAAGCUAGGUACUCGAAAGUAAGUAAACAGAGCAACUGUUCAUCAUUUCCAUCAAGCAUCUUUUUGGUCUUUUUUAUUUUUCUAGAGAUUAACACUUGGCAGAUAAAUAAGCACACUUAUCUACACACUCUUUUUAUUUUGUUUUCAUAUUUAUAGAAUGCAGUAAAUUAAAGCAAGAAAAUAUUUAUUAGGUUUUCUAAGUUUUUCUCUUUAAAAUAAAACACUAAAACAGAAAAGAAUAAAUAAGAAGGGCAAACAAAAACUUACUUGAUAAAAUGGGGAGGAACUCCCCCAAGCUGGAUGUGGUUGUCGGUCUUAGCCAAUGUUCCAAAAUCGCAUCAUGGUGGUGAUGUUGUCGUUCAUUGUCGUGGUGUCUUGUCUCAGUUCUUGUACUGCAGUGGCGUGGUCCUGGUUCCACUUUUGUUGUUGUUCCAGGAGUCGUCCAUGUUCUGCUUGCGUAUUUUGGAUGUCGAGGAGGGUGUUGUCGGUACGGGUGAAAAAGGCGCCGGCCUCUUGGUAGUAGUCGUUCGUGAAAGCAUAAGAGGUGUCGGAGUACCGUCCUACAUCGAAUUGGGGCGGGGGUCUAGACCCUAAAGCUCCAUAAGGAUCAGUGGAGUGCCUACCCAUAUGGAAAGGUGGGUUUGUGCACUGGUGAUCUUGGCCCUCCACAUGUCUCCUGUGUUGGCUCUUGUGGUUGAGCAUGUCGAACCCAUGGGUCCCGAAGGACUCGGGGGUUGUAGUUGCAAUAAUGCAGGUGCGCUGCUUCUUCUGGCCCGGGAUCAGCUCCAUACCAGGUGCGUUCUUGAUUGGUGGUCAUCCUUUCAGAUGCCACUCGUUGUGGAGCUCUCUGGUUUACCGAUGUCACUGCAAUCUUAAUCAAAUAAUUUUGAACAACAUAGAGGCCAAGGUUCGGGUUAGGUAACUGAAUCUUGUCUUUAUUAUCGUAUAACAUAUACAUUACGUUCCCCUCUUUUUUCAAUAUCCGAGCUUGCCUAAAUGUGUCAUAGCCAUGAUAAAUUCGUAACUCAUCAAUGAAUUCCAAUGACGAGUUUUCUAGCAAAUUAAGAUUAGAGGCUAGACGAGUGAUGAGUGAAGUACAACCGACAGGUACCUGAAGACUAGGUAUACUAAGCCAAUGAGAAACCAAAAGUGUAACAGGUGAAGUGGGUACUUUAUUUAUAGCAGCAUAUAGAAGUUGUAAAUCUCCUAUUCUUACUUUUCUAAUAUCAUCACGAUGGAAAAGAUUGUACCCGAGCCAUUUGUGGAACAUCCUAAGAGUGGGGUGUUCCAUGUCGCUGGUUCGGGCUUGGCUAUAAAACUCAUCUCUAGAUAUCUCUCUCCAGAACUGGUGUCUCUCAAAAUAGGGUAAGUCGGAGUCAAUGUCCAAGAUGCAUCUUGAAGAGAAAUCGAGAUGGUCGCUCAUAUCUCUCCAAGACAUCAUAAUAUCCUGUUUGAACAUCCGAAAAACAAUUCCCCCCUCAUAAUAUUGUAAAGUGCAAAGAAAUUCAAGGGUGAGAAGACGGGAACCCAGCUCAGUUAUGUUCCAAAAAUUUGUCCAUCCCACCAUCUGGAAAAUUAAGUCAAAUUCAGUAUCCAUACCUGUUUCUUGUAGCAAGAUAGGAUCAAGAGUGGGGGUGUGAAUGAAAUCCUUGUUCUUUAGCUACUGGUAAACUUCCUUUUCCCUGUGGGUCUUUAGUCCAAGGUCUCCUAUUUUGAGGAGGACCUUGACUUGUGGAUCAGAUGAAGAUGAUGGAGCUUGCGGGGGUGUCGGGUCGACGCUCAUCUCUGACUGGUGCGAGGAGUGUCGAGAUGAACUCCUUGUACCUAUGUUCUUGAGGACCUUCCCUACGUUCUUCACCUUCUUGAACAUCCUGUAGACAAAAGUUGAUACACACACAACUAGUGGAAAAUGUGAGAGAGAGAAAUGUUAGUGGUGAGCUGUCUGAAAUGUCAGUAGUCCAGGGGUUAGUCAUUCAAGACAAGUUUUUUAUUUUGGCAGCACCUCCCCCUAAACAACUUUUACUUCCGCUCUGGACAGUGGGAUCACUACUUACUAGGUGAACCUCACUCUCUCACUCAGAGACUACCAACCUCUCUUCCACUCUUCUCUUCCUCUCUACUCUCCUUCUUUCUUCACUACAAGAGCUCCUUCUCUGGAAACUGAAACUUGCGUAGUUUUCUAGGAGGCUUAUGUGAUGGAGAUGGAGGCAGGAGGUGGCAAUUUAUAGGAGGAAGGGGGAACAGGGCAGGCGCCCUCUGUAGGUGGGCGGGCGCCCACCUUUGGUGCCCAUCCUAGCUGCAACUUUUCUAUUCCCUCCUUUGCUUAAUCUUUAAGCCAAAAAAUAAUUCAUGGGUAGUUUUUGGUCGGUGGAAAAGUGCUGGUGAGUGGAGAUAUGUUGGU
RNAcentral lists this long non-coding RNA (14932 nucleotides) under Sorghum bicolor (sorghum). Its description in RNAcentral is "long non-coding RNA (SBIC_LNC005204)". Lineage: Eukaryota; Viridiplantae; Streptophyta; Magnoliopsida; Poales; Poaceae. The record is from RNAcentral.